This 799-nucleotide long non-coding RNA is filed under the name Marmota monax (woodchuck). Lineage: Eukaryota; Metazoa; Chordata; Mammalia; Rodentia; Sciuridae. The record is from RNAcentral.
CUGAAGGGUGCCUGUGCAGGCUAGUGGGGGUGCCCCAGGCACUGAGCAGACCCAGGGGAGGUAGUGCUGCAGGCUGGGCGUGGGCUGCUGGGAAACCCUCAUAGGGAGAGAGGAGGCCCACUAAACUAGUGAGAGCAAGGCCUGCCCCACUGGACUCUGCAGCAGGGCCAUCGGCCUGUCUGCCUGUGAUCUGACCCUGACAGCACGCAGGAAACACAGUUGGAAAUAGAGAAAGACGGUCAGCUAGAAAGUGGUGCCCAAGGGGAGAGGGCCGGAUUUGGAAGCCAGGGAGGAAGGAGACAGGGAAGGGGCUGCCCGGCGUCAGUCUGUUCCCAAAGGCCUGUAGCUCAGCACCAGGAGGGAUAGAGGGGUGUGCAUGAGAACACAGGGACAGCAGCCCUGUGACCUGGGGAGGGCCAGCUGCCUCCCGGUGCUGCCUGGAGCCUGCAAAGAGGAGGCGGCGGCGUCCACCGGUCUUGAAGGUCGGGAAAGGAGGCCCCGCGCCGGGACAGCUGGGAAACAAAGCCACAGGCCGCAGUGUGAGGGCGCAGGCCACAGAAGAGGCCGUCGGAGGUCUGGGAACCUCCGCAACUGCUCCUUCCGAGGCCUCCAGCGACACCCUCCUGGGGCUCGGGGUCCGGGGAGGCCGCCCCCCUCCCGCACACUCCGCCCCGCCGGCCGGGCCGCUGCCCCAGCCCCCCGCGUGGCGUAUUCUUCUGCUCGGCCGUCCUUCCGACCGUCCCUCCGCGAGUCCGUCUGUCGGUCUUUCUUCUCCCUCCCCUUCCAAAGCCGUGGCCCC